Molecule: ribosomal RNA, 253 nt
Filed under: uncultured bacterium
Lineage: Bacteria
Description: partial 16S ribosomal RNA
Rfam family: Bacterial small subunit ribosomal RNA
Source: RNAcentral
UACGUAGGGUGCAAGCGUUAAUCGGAAUUACGGGGCGUAAAGCGUGCGCAGGCGGCUUGGCAAGCCAGAUGUGAAAUCCCCGGGCUUAACCUGGGAACUGCAUUUGUGACUGCAUGGCUGGAGUGCGGCAGAGGGGGAUGGAAUUCCGCGUGUAGCAGUGAAAUGCGUAGAUAUGCGGAGGAACACCGAUGGCGAAGGCAAUCCCCUGGGCCUGCACUGACGCUCAUGCACGAAAGCGUGGGGAGCAAACAGG